RNAcentral lists this ribosomal RNA (254 nucleotides) under uncultured bacterium. Its description in RNAcentral is "partial 16S ribosomal RNA". It matches the Rfam family "Bacterial small subunit ribosomal RNA", at positions 524 to 776 of the family's 1533-position model. The record is from RNAcentral.
UACGUAGGGGGCAAGCGUUGUCCGGAUUUAUUGGGCGUAAAGAGCUCGUAGGCGGUUUGUCGCGUCUGCUGUGAAAAUCCGGGGCUCAACCCCGGACUUGCAGUGGGUACGGGCAGACUAGAGUGCGGUAGGGGAGAUUGGAAUUCCUGGUGUAGCGGUGAAAUGCGCAGAUAUCAGGAGGAACACCAACAGCGAAGGCAGAUCUCUGGGACGUUACUGACGCUGAGACGCGAAAGCGUGGGGGAGCAAACAGG